GUUAGAUGCUAGGAAGACCACUAAGAUAAAAUAAUGGUUCAUCUGAUGACAAGAUAUUUCAGAUGUGAGGACUAAGUUUGCCUUCAUUUACCAUCUUCGUGUUUGAUUUUGGAGGCUCUAUUUAAGCUGGAAAUGACUCUCCCUGAAGUUAAUUCCUCAAUUGUCCUUGCACUGUCAGAUGCCUUUCUUUCUGAAGGAUUUCCUUAAUCCGCUGUGGUACUUUAAGUGGCUGUCUUGAUAACACCAAAUGUCAUCUGGCAAGUGAAUGACCUUACCUGCUAUCCACAUAUAUUGUCAGAGGGAACUGUGAACUUUGUUUUGGCUUUAAUUUUAAGAGCCUGAAUCCCAAGGCAGAUAUCACAAACAUGAAGACCUAUCCUAUUCCUGCUUCUGUACAUUGCUGGAGAAUAAUAGAAUUAUUGCUCUUUUUAUUUGUGUUUAUUUUUCUAUUUUUGGAAGAGCUACUCAUUGUUAAGUGAUAGAGAAAGAAUGCCAAUAAACCAAUACCUGGGUGAAUCAUGGACUGAGAGUAACCCUGCUGCGGAUGCUACAAAGAUACUGCUG
Molecule: long non-coding RNA, 564 nt
Filed under: Homo sapiens (human)
Lineage: Eukaryota; Metazoa; Chordata; Mammalia; Primates; Hominidae
Description: non-protein coding lnc-NEDD1-2:1
Source: RNAcentral